AGAGUUUGAUCAUGGCUCAGAAUCAACGCUGGCGGCGUGCCUAACACAUGCAAGUCGAACGAGAAAUCUGGCUUCGGUCAGAGAGUAUAGUGGCGAACGGGUGAGUAACGCGUGGAUGAUCUGCCUGGUAGUGGGGGAUAACUCGGGGAAACCCGGGCUAAUACCGCAUGCGCCCGCAAGGGGAAAGGUUUCGAUCGCUAUCAGAGGAGUCCGCGUCCGAUUAGCUAGUAGGUAAGGUAACGGCUUACCUAGGCGUCGAUCGGUAGCCGGUCUGAGAGGACGGACGGCCACACUGGGACUGAGACACGGCCCAGACUCCUACGGGAGGCAGCAGUGGGGAAUUUUGGGCAAUGGGCGCAAGCCUGACCCAGCAACGCCGCGUGGAGGAUGAAAGUUUUCGGAUUGUAAACUCCUGUCCGGAGGGACGAAGACAGUGACGGUACCUCUGGAGGAAGCCCCGGCUAACUCCGUGCCAGCAGCCGCGGUAAUACGGGGGGGGGCAAGCGUUGUUCGGAUUUACUGGGCGUAAAGGGCGCGUAGGCGGCUUCGGAAGUUAUGGGUGAAAGCCCCCGGCUCAACUGGGGAAUUGCCUGUAAAACCACGGAGCUGGAGUGCUGGAGAGGGAAGUGGAAUUCCCAGUGUAGCGGUGAAAUGCGUAGAUAUUGGGAGGAACACCAGUGGCGAAGGCGGCUUCCUGGACAGACACUGACGCUGAGGCGCGAAAGCCAGGGGAGCGAACGGGAUUAGAUACCCCGGUAGUCCUGGCUGUAAACGAUGAAUACUUGGUGUGGGAGGUAUAGAAGUCCUUCUGUGCCGAAGAGAACUCGAUAAGUAUUCCGCCUGGGGAGUACGGCCGCAAGGCUGAAACUCAAAGGAAUUGACGGGGGCCCGCACAAGCGGUGGAGCAUGUGGUUUAAUUUCGACGCAACGCGAAGAACCUUACCGGGGUUUGACUGUAUUGGC
Molecule: ribosomal RNA, 963 nt
Filed under: uncultured bacterium
Lineage: Bacteria
Description: bacterial SSU rRNA
Rfam family: Bacterial small subunit ribosomal RNA
Source: RNAcentral